This 547-nucleotide ribosomal RNA is filed under the name uncultured Glomus. Its description in RNAcentral is "SSU rRNA". It matches the Rfam family "Eukaryotic small subunit ribosomal RNA", at positions 548 to 1099 of the family's 1831-position model. The record is from RNAcentral. Lineage: Eukaryota; Fungi; Glomeromycota; Glomeromycetes; Glomerales; Glomeraceae.
UUAGGGCAAGUCUGGUGCCAGCAGCCGCGGUAAUUCCAGCUCCAAUAGCGUAUAUUAAAGUUGUUGCAGUUAAAAAGCUCGUAGUUGAAUUUCGAGAUCAAAUUGUUGGUCGUGCCUUGGUACGCACUGGCAUUAUUGGUUUCUCCCUUCUGACGAACCAUGAUGUCAUUAAUUUGGUGUCUUGGGAAAUCAGGACUGUUACUUUGAAAAAAUUAGAGUGUUUAAAGCAGGCUCACGCUUGAAUACAUUAGCAUGGAAUAAUGAAAUAGGACGUUUGAUUCUAUUUUGUUGGUUUCUAGGAUCGACGUAAUGAUUAAUAGGGAUAGUUGGGGGCAUUAGUAUUCAAUUGUCAGAGGUGAAAUUCUUGGAUUUAUUGAAGACUAACUACUGCGAAAGCAUUUGCCAAGGAUGUUUUCAUUAAUCAAGAACGAAAGUUAGGGGAUCGAAGACGAUCAGAUACCGUCGUAGUCUUAACCAUAAACUAUGCCGACUAGGGAUCGGAUGAUGUUAAUUUUUUAAUGACUCAUUCGGCGCCUUACGGGAAACA